This 87-nucleotide transfer RNA is filed under the name Botryococcus braunii. RNAcentral's name for it is "tRNA-Ser". It matches the Rfam family "tRNA". From Rfam's summary of the family: Transfer RNA (tRNA) molecules are approximately 80 nucleotides in length. The record is from RNAcentral. Lineage: Eukaryota; Viridiplantae; Chlorophyta; Trebouxiophyceae. RNAcentral also lists the same sequence under 1 other name.
GGAAAGGUGGCAGAGUGGUUUAAUGCAUCGGUUUUGAAAACCGACGUAGCUGAGAGGCUACCGAGGGUUCGACUCCCUCUCUUUCCG